GUGCCUAACACAUGCAAGUCGAACGAAGCACCUUAAGAGAUUUCGUUCGGAUGAUUCUUUUGGUGACUGAGUGGCGGACGGGUGAGUAACGCGUGGGUAACCUGCCCUGUACGAGGGGGAUAACAGCCAAGAAAUGGCUGCUAAUACCGCAUAAGCGCACAGGAAGACAUCGUUUCGGUGUAGAAAAACUCCGGUGGUACAGGAUCGGGCCCGCGUCUGAUUAGCUUGGUUGGGCGGGGUAAUGGCCCACCAAGGCAACGAUCAGUAGCCGGUCUGAGAGGAUGAACGGCCACAUUGGAACUGAGACGACGGUACCAAACUCCGUACGGGGAGGCAGCAGGUGGGGAAUUAUUGCACAAUGGGGGAAACCCUGAUGCAGCAACGCCGCGUGAGUGAAGAAGUAUUUCGGUAUGUAAAGCUCUAUCAGCAGGGAAGAUAAUGACGGUACCUGACUAAGAAGCUCCGGCUAAAUACGUGCCAGCAGCCGCGGUAA
Molecule: ribosomal RNA, 493 nt
Filed under: uncultured bacterium
Lineage: Bacteria
Description: bacterial SSU rRNA
Rfam family: Bacterial small subunit ribosomal RNA
Source: RNAcentral